GGGUUGUGAGGUUAAGCGACUAAGCGUACACGGUGGAUGCCCGGCAGUCAGAGGCGAUGAAGGACGUGCUAAUCUGCGAAAAGCGCCGGCGAGGUGAUAUGAACCCUUGACCCGGCGAUGUCCGAAUGGGGAAACCCAGUGCAAUCCGUUGCACUAUCGUUAACUGAAUACAUAGGUUAACGAGGCGAACCGGGGAACUGAAACAUCUAAGUACCCCGAGGAAAAGAAAUCAACCGAGAUUCCCCAGUAGCGGCGAGCGAACGGGGAGCAGCCCGAGUCUGAAUCAGCUUGUGUGUUAGUGGAACGGUCUGGAAAGUCCGACGGUACAGGGUGAUAGUCCCGUACACGAAAGCACACUUGCUGUGAACUCGAAGAGUAGGGCGGGACACGUGGUAUCCUGUCUGAAUAUGGGGACCAUCCUCCAAGGCUAAAUACUCCUGACUGACCGAUAGUGAACCAGUACCGUGAGGGAAAGGCGAAAAGAACCCCGGCGAGGGAGUGAAAAGAACCUGAAACCGUGUACGUACAAGCAGUGGGAGCCUCUUUAUGGGGUGACUGCGUACCUUUGUAUAAUGGGUCAGCGACUUAUAUUCUGUAGCAAGGUUAACCGUAUAGGGAGCCGAAGGAAACCGAGUCUUAACUGGGCGUUAAGUUGCAGGGUAUAGACCCGAAACCCGGUGAUCUAGCCAUGGGCAGGUUGAAGGUUGGGUAACACUAACUGGAGGACCGAACCGACUAAUGUUGAAAAAUUAGCGGAUGACCUGUGGCUGGGGUGAAAGGCCAAUCAAACCGGGAGAUAGCUGGUUCUCCCGAAAGCUAUUUAGGUAGCGCCUCGUGAACUCAUCUUCGGGGUAGAGCACUGUUUCGGCUAGGGGCCAUCCCGGCUUACCAACCCGAUGCAAACUACGAAUACCGAAGAAUGUUAUCACGGGAGACACACGGCGGGUGCUAACGUCCGUCGUGAAGAGGGAAACAACCCAGACCGCCAGCUAAGGUCCCAAAGUCAUGGUUAAGUGGGAAACGAUGUGGGAAGGCACAGACAGCCGGGAUGUUGGCUUAGAAGCAGCCAUCAUUUAAAGAAAGCGUAAUAGCUCACUGGUCGAGUCGGCCUGCGCGGAAGAUGUAACGGGGCUAAACCAUGCACCGAAGCUGCGGCAGCGACACUAUGUGUUGUUGGGUAGGGGAGCGUUCUGUAAGCCGUUGAAGGUGGCCUGUGAGGGUUGCUGGAGGUAUCAGAAGUGCGAAUGCUGACAUAAGUAACGAUAAAGCGGGUGAAAAGCCCGCUCGCCGGAAGACCAAGGGUUCCUGUCCAACGUUAAUCGGGGCAGGGUGAGUCGACCCUAAGGCGAGGCCGAAAGGCGUAGUCGAUGGGAAACAGGUUAAUAUUCCUGUACUUGGUGUUACUGCGAAGGGGGACGGAGAAGGCUAUGUCAGCCGGGCGACGGUUGUCCCGGUUUAAGCAUGUAGGCGGAGGUUCCGUAAAUCCGGUACCUUAUUAACGCUGAGGUGUGAUGACGAGGCACUACGGUGCUGAAGUGAUAAAUGCCCUGCUUCCGUGAAAAGCCUCUAAGCAUCAGGUAACACGAAAUCGUACCCCAAACCGACACAGGUGGUCAGGUAGAGAAUACCAAGGCGCUUGAGAGAACUCGGGUGAAGGAACUAGGCAAAAUGGUGCCGUAACUUCGGGAGAAGGCACGCUGAUGUGUAGGUGAAGCCCCUGCGGGUGGAGCUGAAAUCAGUCGAAGAUACCAGCUGGCUGCAACUGUUUAUUAAAAACACAGCACUGUGCAAACACGAAAGUGGACGUAUACGGUGUGACGCCUGCCCGGUGCCGGAAGGUUAAUUGAUGGGGUUAGCGGCAACGCGAAGCUCUUGAUCGAAGCCCCGGUAAACGGCGGCCGUAACUAUAACGGUCCUAAGGUAGCGAAAUUCCUUGUCGGGUAAGUUCCGACCUGCACGAAUGGCGUAAUGAUGGCGGUGCUGUCUCCACCCGAGACUCAGUGAAAUUGAACUCGCUGUGAAGAUGCAGUGUACCCGCGGCAAGACGGAAAGACCCCGUGAACCUUUACUAUAGCUUGACACUGAACACUGGUCCUUGAUGUGUAGGAUAGGUGGGAGGCUUUGAAGCGUGGACGCCAGUCUGCGUGGAGCCAACCUUGAAAUACCACCCUUUAAUGGCUGGUGUUCUAACGUAGACCCGUAAUCCGGGUUGCGGACAGUGUCUGGUGGGUAGUUUGACUGGGGCGGUCUCCUCCCAAAGAGUAACGGAGGAGCACGAAGGUUGGCUAAUCUGGUCGGACAUCAGGAGGUUAGUGCAAUGGCAUAAGCCAGCUUGACUGCGAGCGUGACGGCGCGAGCAGGUGCGAAAGCAGGUCAUAGUGAUCCGGUGGUUCUGAAUGGAAGGGCCAUCGCUCAACGGAUAAAAGGUACUCCGGGGAUAACAGGCUGAUACCGCCCAAGAGUUCAUAUCGACGGCGGUGUUUGGCACCUCGAUGUCGGCUCAUCACAUCCCGGGCUGAAGUAGGUCCCAAGGGUAUGGCUGUUCGCCAUUUAAAGUGGUACGCGAGCUGGGUUUAGAACGUCGUGAGACAGUUCGGUCCCUAUCUGCCGUGGGCGCUGGAGAAUUGAGGGGCUGCUCCUAGUACGAGAGGACCGGAGUGGACGCAUCACUGGUGUUCGGGUUGUCAUGCCAAUGGCACUGCCCGGUAGCUAAAUGCGGAAGAGAUAAGUGCUGAAAGCAUCUAAGCACGAAACUUGCCCCGAGAUGAGUUCUCCCUGAGACCUUGAGUCUCCUGAAGGAACGUUGAAGACGACGACGUUGAUAGGUCGGGUGUGUAAGCGCAGCGAUGCGUUGAGCUAACCGAUACUAAUGAACCGUGAGGCUUAACCUUACAACGCCGAAGGUGUUU
RNAcentral lists this ribosomal RNA (2909 nucleotides) under Enterobacter hormaechei. Its description in RNAcentral is "23S ribosomal RNA". It matches the Rfam family "Bacterial large subunit ribosomal RNA". The record is from RNAcentral. Lineage: Bacteria; Pseudomonadati; Pseudomonadota; Gammaproteobacteria; Enterobacterales; Enterobacteriaceae.